AACGAACGCUGGCGGCGUGGUUCAGACAUGCAAGUCGAACGAUCACUAUUGGGUAGCAAUAUUCGGUAGUGGGAGUGGCGCAAGGGUGCGUAACACGUGGGUAAUUUGCCAUGAAGUCUGGAAUAACUUGCUGAAAGGCGAGCUAAUACCGGAUGUGAUUACUGGAAGGCAUCUUCUGGUACUUAAAGUCGGGGACCGUAAGGCCUGACACUUCUUGAUAAGCCCGCGGCCUAUCAGCUAGUUGGUGAGGUAACGGCUCACCAAGGCUAAGACGGGUAGCUGGUCUGAGAGGACGACCAGCCACACUGGAACUGAGACACGGUCCAGACACCUACGGGUGGCAGCAGUCGAGAAUUUUUCUCAAUGGGGGAAACCCUGAAGGAGCGACGCCGCGUGGGGGAUGAAUGGCUUCGGCCCGUAAACCCCUGUCAUUUGCGAUCAAACCUUACGGCUUAACACGUCGUAAGCUGAUAGUAGCGGAAGAGGAAGGGACGGCUAACUCUGUGCCAGCAGCCGCGGUAAUACAGAGGUCCCAAGCGUUGUUCGGAUUCACUGGGCGUAAAGGGUGCGUAGGCGGUCGGGUAAGUCUGACGUGAAAUCUUCAAGCUCAACUUGGAAACUGCGUCGGAUACUAUUCGGCUAGAGGAAUGGAGGGGGAGACUGGAAUACUUGGUGUAGCAGUGAAAUGCGUAGAUAUCAAGUGGAACACCAGUGGCGAAGGCGAGUCUCUGGACAUUUCCUGACGCUGAGGCACGAAAGCCAGGGGAGCA
Molecule: ribosomal RNA, 770 nt
Filed under: uncultured bacterium
Lineage: Bacteria
Description: bacterial SSU rRNA
Rfam family: Bacterial small subunit ribosomal RNA
Source: RNAcentral